RNAcentral lists this transfer RNA (77 nucleotides) under Spirochaetes bacterium GWB1_59_5. RNAcentral's name for it is "tRNA-Met". It matches the Rfam family "tRNA". Rfam says of the family: Transfer RNA (tRNA) molecules are approximately 80 nucleotides in length. Their secondary structure includes four short double-helical elements and three loops (D, anti-codon, and T loops). The record is from RNAcentral. Lineage: Bacteria; Pseudomonadati; Spirochaetota.
CGCGGCGUAGAGCAGUUGGUAGCUCGUCGGGCACAUACACCCGAAGGUCAUUGGUUCGAGUCCAAUCGCCGCAACCC